GCCCGGCUAGCUCAAUCGGUAGUGCGUGAGACUCUUAAUCUCAAGGUUGUGGGUUCGACCCCCACGUCGGGCU
RNAcentral lists this transfer RNA (73 nucleotides) under Podospora anserina S mat+. Its description in RNAcentral is "tRNA-Lys (CTT) (tRNA-Lys-CTT-3-1)". It matches the Rfam family "tRNA". Rfam says of the family: Transfer RNA (tRNA) molecules are approximately 80 nucleotides in length. Their secondary structure includes four short double-helical elements and three loops (D, anti-codon, and T loops). Further hydrogen bonds mediate the characteristic L-shaped molecular structure. tRNAs have two regions of fundamental functional importance: the anti-codon, which is responsible for specific mRNA codon recognition, and the 3' end, to which the tRNAs corresponding amino acid is attached (by aminoacyl-tRNA synthetases). tRNAs cope with the degeneracy of the genetic code in two manners: having more than one tRNA (with a specific anti-codon) for a particular amino acid; and 'wobble' base-pairing, i.e. permitting non-standard base-pairing at the 3rd anti-codon position. The record is from RNAcentral. Lineage: Eukaryota; Fungi; Ascomycota; Sordariomycetes; Sordariales; Podosporaceae.